This 496-nucleotide ribosomal RNA is filed under the name uncultured bacterium. RNAcentral's name for it is "partial 16S ribosomal RNA". It matches the Rfam family "Bacterial small subunit ribosomal RNA", at positions 29 to 507 of the family's 1533-position model. The record is from RNAcentral.
AUGAACGCUGGCGGCGUGCCUAAUACAUGCAAGUCGAGCGAACGGACGAGAAGCUUGCUUCUCUGAUGUUAGCGGCGGACGGGUGAGUAACACGUGGAUAACCUACCUAUAAGACUGGGAUAACUUCGGGAAACCGGAGCUAAUACCGGAUGAUAUUUUGAACCGCAUGGUUCAAAAGUGAAAGACGGUCUUGCUGUCACUUAUAGAUGGAUCCGCGCUGCAUUAGCUAGUUGGUAAGGUAACGGCUUACCAAGGCAACGAUGCAUAGCCGACCUGAGAGGGUGAUCGGCCACACUGGAACUGAGACACGGUCCAGACUCCUACGGGAAGCAGCAGUAGGGAAUCUUCCGCAAUGGGCGAAAGCCUGACGGAGCAACGCCGCGUGAGUGAUGAAGGUCUUCGGAUCGUAAAACUCUGUUAUUAGGGAAGAACAUAUGUGUAAGUAACUGUGCACAUCUUGACGGUACCUAAUCAGAAAGCCACGGCUAACUACGUG